This 505-nucleotide ribosomal RNA is filed under the name uncultured bacterium. RNAcentral describes it as "partial 16S ribosomal RNA". It matches the Rfam family "Bacterial small subunit ribosomal RNA", at positions 28 to 507 of the family's 1533-position model. The record is from RNAcentral.
GACGAACGCUGGCGGCGUGCCUAAUACAUGCAAGUAGAACGCACAGUUUAUACCGUAGCUUGCUACACCAUAGACUGUGAGUUGCGAACGGGUGAGUAACGCGUAGGUAACCUGUCUGGUAGCGGGGGAUAACUAUUGGAAACGAUAGCUAAUACCGCAUAAUAUUAAUUAUUGCAUGAUAAUUAAUUGAAAGGUGCAAUUGCACCACUACCAGAUGGACUUGCGUUGUAUUAGCUAGUAGGUGAGGUAACGGCUCACCUAGGCGACGAUACAUAGCCGACAUGCGAGGGUGAUCGGCCACACUGGGACUGAGACACGCCCCAGACUCCUACGGGAGGCAGCAGUAGGGAAUCGUCGGCAAUGGACGAAAGUCUGACCGCGCAACGCCGCGUGAGUGAAGAAGGUUUUCGGAUCGUAAAGCUCUGUUGUAAGAGGAGAACGGGUGUGCGAGUGGAAAGUUCACACUGUGACGGUAUCUUACCAGAAAGGGACGGCUAACUACGUG